RNAcentral lists this ribosomal RNA (1745 nucleotides) under Saturnispora silvae. RNAcentral describes it as "SSU rRNA". It matches the Rfam family "Eukaryotic small subunit ribosomal RNA". The record is from RNAcentral. Lineage: Eukaryota; Fungi; Ascomycota; Pichiomycetes; Pichiales; Pichiaceae.
UCUGGUUGAUCCUGCCAGUAGUCAUAUGCUUGUCUCAAAGAUUAAGCCAUGCAUGUCUAAGUAUAAGCAUUAUACGGUGAAACUGCGAAUGGCUCAUUAAAUCAGUUAUCGUUUCUUUGAUAGUACCUUUUCUACAUGGAUAACCGUGGAAAAUCUAGAGCUAAUACAUGCGACAACCCCCGACUUCGGAAGGGGCGUAUUUAUUAGAUAAAAAACCAAUGACUUCGGUCCUUUUGGUGAUUCAUAAUAACUUUUCGAAGCCUGGGUUUAUCUCGGGCUGGUUCAUUCAAGUUUCUGCCCUAUCAACUUAUACGUAGGGUAUUGGCCUACGUAGGUGACAACGGGUAACGGGGAAUAAGGGUUCGAUUCCGGAGAGGGAGCUUUACAAACGGCUACCACAUCCAAGGAAGGCAGCAGGCGCGCAAAUUACCCAAUCCUGACACAGGGAGGUAGUGACAAUAUAUAACGAUACAGGGCCCUUUGGGUCUUGUAAUUGGAAUGAGUACAAAGUAAACACCUUAACGAGGAACAAUUGGAGGGCAAGUCUGGUGCCAGCAGCCGCGGUAAUUCCAGCUCCAAUAGCGUAUAUUAAAGUUGUUGCAGUUAAAAAGCGCGUAGCUGAAGCUUGUUGGCGGUGGCCACGGUCGACUUCUAGUCUGUACUGUGUGCCGCGCCAAUUUUAACUGGGACUCACGUUCCAGUGAUUACUUUGAGAAAAUUAGAGUGUUCAAAGCAGGCCUUUGCUCGGAUAGUACAGCAUGGAAUAAUGGAAUAGGACGUAUGGUUCUAUUUUGUUGGUUUCUAGGACCGUCGUAAUGAUUAAUAGGGAUGGACGGGGUGUCAGGUAUGGUUACGUCAGAGGUGAAAUUCUUAGAUUGUAACCGGACCCACUGCUGCGAAAGCGUGACACAAGAACAUUCCCAUUAGUAAAGCACGAUAGUUAGAGGAGUUAAGAUGAUCAGAUACCGUCGUAGCUCUAACUGUAAACUAUGAUGACUAGGGAUGGGGCGAUGUUCACACGAACGCGCUCUGCACCUUAGCGAAAGUAAAGUUUUUGAUCUCUGGGGGGAGUAUGGUCGCAAGGCUGAAACUUAAAGGAAUUGACGGAAGGGCACCACCAGGAGUGGAGCCUGCGGCUUAAUUUGACUCAACACGGGACAGCUUACCAGGUCCAGACAUGAAAAGGAUUGACAAAUUGGAGAUUUCUCUUGAUCUCAUGGGUGGUGGUGCAUGGCCGUUUUUAGUCCUUGGAGUGAUUUGUCUGCUUAAUUGCGAUAACGGACGAGACCUUAACCUGCUAACUACAACCACCAACGUCAGUUGGUGCUGUUGUUCUUAGAGGGACUAUGGGGAACAACCCCAUGGAAGUUUGAGGCAACAACAGGUCUGUGAUGCCCUUAGACGUUCUGGGCCGCACGCGCGCUACACUGACGGAGCCAGCAAGUUACCUUGGCCGAGAGGCCUGGGCAAGCUCGUGAAACUCCGUCGUGCUGGGGAUAGAGCAUUGUAAUUUUUGCUCUUCAACGAGGAAUUCCUAGUAAGCGCAAGUCAUUAGCUUGCGUUGAUUACGUCCCUGCCCUUUGUACACACCGCCCGUCGUUACUAUCGAUGAAUGUUCAAUUGAGUUCUUAGGACGGCCACUACGGUUGGGGCAACCUGACUGCGGCGGCUGAAAUUUGUGCAAGUUUGGACAUUUAGAGAAAGUACAAGUCGUAACAAGGUUACUGUAGGUGAACCUGCAGUAG